This is a long non-coding RNA of Carassius carassius (crucian carp), 391 nucleotides long. RefSeq lists it as uncharacterized. Lineage: Eukaryota; Metazoa; Chordata; Actinopteri; Cypriniformes; Cyprinidae. The record is from RefSeq and is a predicted model, not a curated record. The transcript has 2 exons.
GAAGCCAGUUGAUGAAGAUAUCAAUUGAAUGGCCACCGACUGCAGCACUGCUACCUGAACCCAUCAGUUAUCUGCUGUGAAGACUGCAUUCACAAACCGCUCUACUGCGACAGCUCAGAUGUUACGGCCCGUAAAAGUAAACAUCACAGCUAAACAACGAGAGCUAGUUGUGGGGGGAUUCUUUUGGCCCAUAUCCCCAACAAGAAUCAAUGACAUCUACACCAGGUGGAGUAUGAGGAGGACUGUCAGAGACUCCAGCCAGCCGAGCCAUGGAUUGCUCUCACCCUUACCAUCAGGCAGACGUUAUCACAGAACCUACACCAGCAGACAGUGAGACAAGUUCCUUUCACAGGCAAUCAGACUGAACUGAACUCAUACCAGUAAAACCAUA